Molecule: long non-coding RNA, 462 nt
Filed under: Ananas comosus (pineapple)
Lineage: Eukaryota; Viridiplantae; Streptophyta; Magnoliopsida; Poales; Bromeliaceae
Description: long non-coding RNA (ACOM_LNC039693)
Source: RNAcentral
AUAUCUUAAGUUUUCUGUUUCGACCCCGUUUAGUCACUAAAACUAUACCGAACUGUAAUCUUUAUUAGAUAGCUGUCGGAUUUUAUUUUUUACCUUCCGGGUGUCAGAAUGACAUGAAACAUUAAAUCUAGCCUCAUAAAAAUAAUUCUGACUUACCCUCCAGUUUUCAUAAUUUUCUGAUACUGUGCAUUUUCUGCUAAUUUAUCUGCCCUGUUUCUCACAAAAAAUUCUAAAUCUUUUGUUUUCACUCCGAUUUCAGCACAGGUCGUUUCUAGCUCAUAUUUCACUUCUCCAAAUCUAAUAAAAAUAGUAUCUUAUACUAUUUUUAUUUAUUUUUAUUUUUAUAUUUAAAAUCCGGUAUAUUACAUUCCACCACAACCUCAUCGGAACCAUUCAAAUGGCUUUCCAACCAAAUGUACAUCGUAACUUGAUAAUUUUAAAAGUGCGGUACCUUACAAAUUU